CUUCCGGGAGCUCCGGAGCUCCGGGGCUUCCACCACAUCUGCCGGCUCAGGACGGGUCGUGCUCAUCCCUUAACUUUUUAACUUUUUGUUGUUUCUAUUUAUAUUUUAUUGUGCUAUGUCUUGAAAUGUUGUUGUAGCUAUUACUUUUGAUUGGAUAUUACUUAGUAUUCCUACUUUAAAUAAGAGUAGUUUGCACACCACACAGCUAUAGUGUUAUAAUAUUCUGUUUUGUUUUGUAUCCUAUUAGCAGUGAGGAUUUUUUUUUACCUUUAGGUGAUCAUUUAUUACUCAUUAAUGUCCUUUUCUUCCUGAUUGAAGUACUCCCUUUAGCAUUCCUUUAGGACAGGAUUUGUCCCCAGUGCCUUAUUUAGUUCACUUGGUGAGGUCAUGUUUUCCUGGAUGGUGUUGAUGCUAGUAGAUGUUCUUCAGUGUCUGGACAUUAAAAUCUUGGGCAUGCAGCACCAUAUGAGAAGUUUAAAAAAUAAAAUUUAAAGAGAGAAAAGUCUUCAGUGAAAAGGAAUUGCUGAUUGAGCAAGAAUUAAACUUCUAGAGACUCCUGGAUCCACUGAAGUUUGAGACAAGCUCUAGUCAGGAAGUGUUAGAGAGUUCUAAACAGGAAAUAUUCCAACACAUCAUCUAAGCAUGAAGCAGGAGACACCCAUAAUUGAGUUUGCUGCCACCAACCCCAACAGCAAGAAUUCCAGUCCUGCUGCUGCAAAGUAAGUGUCACUCUGAUUUUAUUGCUGCUGUGUAACCCAGUUUUAGACUCUCUGGUUCUCACUUAAUGUUCUAAAAAAGUAUUAAAGAGAAAAUUUUAUUCUGGUGAUGAGCCCAUCCACUGCAGCCAUCUCAACAUCAUACCAAUUAUAAGCCUAUCAUUUAAAAAGAAAGCUGUUAGUUUAACUUAUUUAUCCAAAUAUCAGUAUUACAUAAACAUAUUUGUCAUCAGACUUUGGACUUAUGGGUUAAAUAGCAUAUAAAUAUGAUUAGAGCCUUAAAGUUUACACUUCUCUGGUUCGCUCAAAUUUUUUUCAAAAUAGCAUAUGCCUUUCUAAACAAUGGUUAGUAUAUUUUUCAAAAUGAACAUUAAAAUGUAUAUUUUCCAAAAACAAAAUACAGCUCCCAUUGGUAAAUGAUGCUAUUGAGACACAACAGACAACUUCUCUUGGGAACCAUUUAAUCAGUGCUCACUUUUGCACUCUUUCCAGAAAUGUCAAUGGUUUUGAAAUAUAGAAGUAUAUUAUACAAAUAAACUUAUACUUAUUCAGUAUUGUGCAAUAUUUAGUAUUUCUUCUAGCCAUCUCUUGCUGAAUAGUAAGCCAUUCCAAAACUUACGGAAUUAUUUAUUGUUUAAUAUUGUUUAUUGUUAUUAUUUGUUUAGUAAUUUUAAUAACGUUAUUUCUCAUGGUUUUGUGGGUUGAUGGGCACUACAAAAGUUCUCUUUUGGAGUCUUUCUUGCAGUUGCGGUUGGUUGGCUGCUGCUGAAGUCACCUGAAAGCUCAAUUAGGCUAAAGAGUCUAAACGGGUCACUUACAUGGCUGGCAGUGCAUAUUGGCUGCUGAGUGUGAUGCCUAUCUGACCUCUCCAUGUUACCUGGAGUGCUCACAACGUGGUAGUUUGUCCCAAGACACACAGGCAAAUACUACAAAGCUUCUUAGGGCCUAGCCUUGGAGGUCCUAGAAUACGACUUCUGCUGCAUCCUAUUGGAAAAGCAAGUCAUUGUGACCAGCACAGAUUCAAGAAAUGGGAGAUUCGACUCUACCUGUCAAUGUAAACAGCAGCAUGUGCAUGCAGGGAGGAAAGAAAUUGAGGGCAUCAUCUUGAAGACUAUCAUAUCACACCAUUAUUCCAACUAGUGAACAUUAUGUUUUAGAUGGGUAGUACUAGCUACUCAUCUGUCCCCCAGAAACCCAAGCUAAGCAUGGACAUAUUGAAGAGAAUGUCAACACCAUUAAAAAAACUCUAGAAAAAUCACAUGUGAUGACUGAGGUUAAUUCAGUCUGUCAACUACAUCAAUAUAAUUGCCUUCUUGUAACCCUAAGUAUGGUGAAGCAGAAUUGAAUUCUACAAAAGUCUUUCAUCUGUUUUCCUAUGGAAUAAUUAACAAACCCAAUAAAUGUAUAAAUAGC
This is a long non-coding RNA of Homo sapiens (human), 2129 nucleotides long. Ensembl annotates it as long intergenic non-protein coding RNA 1410. Lineage: Eukaryota; Metazoa; Chordata; Mammalia; Primates; Hominidae. The record is from Ensembl.